UGGACUUCAGUCUGAGUUUUCUCAGCAUGUUGACUAAGCUUUUUUAGUUGUGGAUAAUCAGUAACACCGCUUUGGCUGGUAUUAGCAGCUGUUUUGCUUAGCUCUCCUUCAGGUCUUCUACGAACAUAGACAAGAUGCCCACUACCAGAAUUGUUUGUCGAGCAUCGGUUGAGUGGGUUCACAAGGCAUUCCGGGGUAGGUCUUUUUGAGCCAGUUAUAUUAGAAACUUUAUUCGCCAUAGUAUUCGCUUCAGGAAAUAGUGGGCUUUCAGUAGAUUUGGAGGCAGCAACCACACUUUCACUCUGUGAAUCUUGUAGUGCAGGCCCUACUAUGGCUACUGGGACCGACAGCUGUUUAUCAUGCUUGGGUAAACCAAAACCAGAUUUAGCAUUAGUCUGGUCACUUGACUUUGAAUCUACAGUUUGUUCACCCAUCUCAUAGGCUCACAACAUCAAGAUGAUGGAGCAUGACAUGAGAUGAAUAUGUUCCAUUCAAAGUGGUUCCAUUCCAAUACAUAAUGAAAAUGAUCUGCAGCUAUUAUUAAUAAUAUGUGUAUGCUUCCAGAUUCUUCACGACGAGGAAGGAAUGGUGG
RNAcentral lists this unclassified non-coding RNA (592 nucleotides) under Hevea brasiliensis (rubber tree). The record is from RNAcentral. Lineage: Eukaryota; Viridiplantae; Streptophyta; Magnoliopsida; Malpighiales; Euphorbiaceae.